ACUGCUCAGUAACACGUCGAUAAUCUGCCCUAAGGUUGAGGAUACCCACGGAAAACUGUGGCUAAUACUUGAUAUUGAAUGGAUUCUGGAACGAACCAUUCAUUAAACGUAAGGCCUUAGGAUGAGUCGGCGGCAGAUUAGGCAGUUGGCGGUGUAACGGACCACCAAACCAAAGAUCUGUAGGGGCCCUGAGAGGGGUAGCCCCGAGAGGGACACUGAAAUACUGGUCCCAGCUCCACGGAGUGCAGCAGGCGCGAAACCUCCACAAUGCGCGAAAGCGUGAUGGGGGGAUUCCGAGUGCUUACAUUUUUUGUAAGCUUUUGCCAAGAGUUCACAUCUUGGAGAAUAAGUGGUGGGAAAGACCGGUGCCAGCAGCCGCGGUAACCCCGGCGCCACGAGUGGCAAUCUUAUAUUGGGCCUAAAGCAUUCGUAGCAGGUUUAAAAAAUCCUUUGUGAAAUUGUUGAACUCAAUACAACAGCGUGCAGGGGACACUUUUAGACUAGAGACUGGGAGGAGUUGGGGGUAUGCCUUGGGGAGCGGUUAAAUGUGAUAAUCCAAGGUAGACCACCUGUGGCGAAGGCGCCCAACUAGAACAGUUCUGACUGUGAGGGAUGAAAGCUAGGGGAGCGAUCCGGAUUAGAUACCCGAGUAGUCCUAGCUGUAAACACUGUGAGCUAGGUGUCGCAUAUUCUACGAGAAUAUGCGGUGUCGAAAAGAAGUUGAUAAGCUCACCGCCUGGGAAGUACGGUCGCAAGACUGAAACUUAAAGGAAUUGGCGGGGGAGCAC
Molecule: ribosomal RNA, 788 nt
Filed under: uncultured archaeon
Lineage: Archaea
Description: bacterial SSU rRNA
Rfam family: Archaeal small subunit ribosomal RNA
Source: RNAcentral